GGAGAGGUAGCUCAGUUGGGAGAGCAGUAGCAUAGUAAAAACGCAUCAUGUUUGUGUGUGCUAACAGCUAUUUACUGAUAUGGGAAGCCACGUGUCCGAGGUUCGAGUCCUCGUCUCUCCA
This 121-nucleotide transfer RNA is filed under the name Candidatus Scybalousia scybalohippi. RNAcentral's name for it is "tRNA-OTHER". It matches the Rfam family "tRNA". Rfam says of the family: Transfer RNA (tRNA) molecules are approximately 80 nucleotides in length. Their secondary structure includes four short double-helical elements and three loops (D, anti-codon, and T loops). Further hydrogen bonds mediate the characteristic L-shaped molecular structure. tRNAs have two regions of fundamental functional importance: the anti-codon, which is responsible for specific mRNA codon recognition, and the 3' end, to which the tRNAs corresponding amino acid is attached (by aminoacyl-tRNA synthetases). tRNAs cope with the degeneracy of the genetic code in two manners: having more than one tRNA (with a specific anti-codon) for a particular amino acid; and 'wobble' base-pairing, i.e. permitting non-standard base-pairing at the 3rd anti-codon position. The record is from RNAcentral. Lineage: Bacteria; Pseudomonadati; Bacteroidota; Bacteroidia; Bacteroidales.